Molecule: unclassified non-coding RNA, 1428 nt
Filed under: Hevea brasiliensis (rubber tree)
Lineage: Eukaryota; Viridiplantae; Streptophyta; Magnoliopsida; Malpighiales; Euphorbiaceae
Source: RNAcentral
UAUAAAUCACAUUAUGAAUGAAACUGGAGCAACUGUCUUGCUAAGAGGACGUGGUUCGGGAUAUUCAGAUGAAGGACAGGGAGAAGAUGUUCACCAACCUCUGCAUUUACUCAUAUCAAGCAAUAACAGUGCAAGUCUUGAGCGUGCGAAGCUUUUGGCAGAAAAUCUUUUGGAUACUAUUUGUGCAGAGUGUGGUGCUUCUAGAGUCUCUUCUUGUAAGGUUUAUGGAGCUGUUCCGCCUCCACUGCAACCGUUAGCCAGCGUUCAGGUUUCUGGAAGUGAAUCAGAAGUCAAUAACACACCCACAGCCAAUGUAGCUGCACAGAUUUUGAGCUCCUCAACUGCAGCAGCAGUUCCCGUGACUGCAGCUGCAGGUGGGACUGGUGUUGUUUCUCAGGGUACAGUACCUCAAUCUCUAGGCUCACUAGAUCCUGUGCCAUCUCAACCUCCCACCAGUUGUUAUCCUCAUCAAUUAGUUACAAGUAGAACAAGCUAUAUUGGCUAUGAUGGUAUAUAUCCCCAAGCCACUGCUUUGCAGCAAGUUGCUUUGGCUCUUAGGCAAUCUACUUCUCCAGUCACUUCAACAGUUCCUCCAGCAACAACGGGACCAAGCAUCACUUCACAGACAAGUACAGGUUCUGAGAAGGACAAGCGCCCUGCACAGAAGCGUAAAUUUCAAGAAUUGCCGGCUGGUGGAAAAGGCCAAGCAACUGUAAACCAGAAUCCACUGCAGGCUACGGAGCUUCUAAUGCUUCAGGAACGAAUUUCAGAGAAAGGUGAUACAGACAAAAUUGGUAUUCCGACUCCCAGAAAGUUGGUUCAGCCCUUAUCCAGUUCAAUGCUGCCGCCGCCACCUCCUAGAAUGAUGCCUCCACCGCCGCCGCCACCAAAGUUUCAAUCAUCCUCACAGAAAGUGCAUGAUAACAAUAUGGUUAACAAAGCACCAAGUAAAAUUGUACCAGAUACAUUAGUCCAGCUAAUGGAAUAUGGGGAUGACGACGACGACGAUAAUGAUGAAGCAAUUGACGGACCUUUGAAAAGUAGCUCAAGUGCGGUAGCGACUCCAAAGCCAUUCUGGGCUGUUUAAUAAUAUGACCACUGCACAUCUCUGAAGAUUUUGGCAACAGCUGAAUGUGCAUUAUAAGUUGAAUGGUUGUUUUCAAUUGACCUGGAAGUGGCUGUGAAAUAUAAAAUAUGUACCCUUCCCCACCCCAGCAAAAAGAUGUGGGGCCACCAAAUGGAGGAAAAGAGGAAAGGAGAGUUCUGUAGUAUUGUGCCAAUAUGAUAAUAUCAGAGUGUAAGUGAUGCUCUAUGUAAAAUGACUCGUAGAAAUUCCGCAACCUUGUAUUUCCAUUCAGAAGUUGUUUGCUGCUGGCUUGUAGUUUCACUCUGAACUCUUUAUGAAACAAAGAAAUGCCAGCAGUUUAA